UACAGAGGGGGCAAGCGUUAUUCGGAAUUACUGGGCGUAAAGGGCUCGUAGGCGGCCAACUAAGUCAUACGUGAAAUCCCUCAGCUUAACUGGGGAACUGCGUGUGAUACUGGAUGGCUUGGAUUUGGGAGAGGGAUGCGGAAUUCCAGGUGUAGCGGUGAAAUGCGUAGAUAUCUGGAGGAACACCGGUGGCGAAGGCGGCAUCCUGGGCCAUUACUGACGCUGAGGAGCGAAAGCGUGGGGAGCGAACAGG
RNAcentral lists this ribosomal RNA (253 nucleotides) under uncultured bacterium. RNAcentral's name for it is "partial 16S ribosomal RNA". It matches the Rfam family "Bacterial small subunit ribosomal RNA", at positions 524 to 776 of the family's 1533-position model. The record is from RNAcentral.